GUAAACAGCGGGCGGUGGGAGGCUCUGCUGCGGUUCCUCUGGGCCACGCGUCCGCCGGGUUUCAUUCUCCCCCUCCGGGGCUCCACAGCGGACCUGGCGGGAGAGGCACCGUCUCCCUCCACGCAGACCGAAGUCAAAAUACGGAGCCGCGGGGAGGAUGAGCGACCCUCACUGUCACAUGGGCGCGCACCAAAAGCCACACUUGCGCGCUCACACAGUGUGCCCUGGCAAGCGCGUGAAAGUUUAAUUCUGUUAAAUGCAAAUUAAGAACUUUGUCGAAACAACCUCACGCGCUCUUUAUUUAUUCCCUGCUUCGCGCGCAGCAUCAACAACAGCAGCGGCAAUCCUCCACCUCCUCGUGCAGCCCAAGUCCAACAAACUGCAGUGCGGCAGCGGUUCGCUAUUUUAAGAAUAAUUUUUACAUGAAGAGGAUAAAUAUUUAAUUUCCCUUCCUCAGUCAUGACCGCCAGAGCGAAUAGAAUUUUUUGUUUUUUUAAAGAAGCGGCUGGUUAAGUUGUUAAAGCGGCACCGAGAGGCUCGACUCAAUUACCAGAAAUUUACUCCAAGAAGUCACAUACAGACGCGGACAGUAAGAAGACAUCAGCAGCAGUGAAAACAACUUUUCCACAGCACUUUGUAAAAACAGUGCUCGCAGGGCAGUAGUGUCACCAUUAAAGGGGAAGCUGAAGAAAGACUGCUGGACGACACAAUUAUCUUACUGGUGUUUGUAGCUCAGCUGGAUGAACCAGGAGACAGAGUCCAUGUCAUGAAGGUAUUUUGUCGCCCCAUCACUGACGCUGACAUCGCUUGCUGCCAUUCAAGAGAGUUAAAACAACUACAGCAACCGCCAGUGGCUCUACUCAUAUGGACAUGUGAGUACUAUUUUGAUUUUAGACUCCUGUUUUAGAUGAAAACUGGCAACAGAUUAAUUUAACAACAGUCAGUACACCAUUCUGUGUGGUGAGAUGAAGUCACAAAAAGCAAAACACAUUUUAAUAAAGGUAAAUCCUAAGUAAACUUACUGUCAUAAAAACAUAUUUUAUUCAAGGAGCCAUGCUUGGACACAUAGUGGUAUCUCUGCUUUGAUUUUGGAAUACUUCUUCCAACACCGGCUUCAACAGAUGCACAGCAUGUCACCGUAAUGAGCUGAGGGGGAGAAAAAAAAGUAGGUUGGUGGAGUAUGCUCUGAACGUCUCUCUCUCUUUUGUUUUAUAACCAUCUAACCCAAUCUGAUAGCAACUAAUGAGUGUGAUUACUUUAGAAGCUGCUAAUAGCUGUAGCUAAUCCCCCCUCUGCCCCCUUUCAUUUCAUCUCCUCCUGCAUCACUCCACACGUCUCCCAGCUUUCUGACUUUGCAUGCCAUCAUUAUUAGAUGUGCGACCCCUGGAUUUCCUCCCCCCUCUUCACCUAUUAUCCAUCACUAAUGACAAGCGGCCGUGUUGUAAAUGUUGCACUUGCAGUGAACUAAGCUGUGAUGUGUGUGCGCUGAGACGGGAGGUGUGUUAUUGUUAGUGUUAUGCAAGUAUCUCACAGGAGCCACACCUGAGUGGGAGUCAGAUUGGCUGAUCUGUAAGUGGCAAUAUCGCACCUAGAUUAGUUUUGUUCUAAAAAAAAAACAAAAAAAAAAAAAACACUUUGACAAGGUUUUGCUGAUGUUUUCAGCAGGAAGUUUUCUUGUAGUUCCCAAAAAUGUUCUUCUUUAAGGUAGGAGAAGUUGUAAAAAUGUUUGGUAACAACACUGGUACACCAUUAUGGCCUAACACUCUCAAAACUGAAUGAAAGUUCUUCCUCUGUUAUCAUGUAGUAUUGUGGAACAUUGUGAGAUUGUUUUAUAGAAUCUGUAACAUGUUCCCUCAAUAACAUCCUCAGAACGUCCACAGAACAUUGCAGUCUGAAUGUUUCACCUUUGUUAAUAUAUCGCAUUAUAGGA
This is a long non-coding RNA of Amphiprion ocellaris (clown anemonefish), 1930 nucleotides long. RefSeq lists it as uncharacterized. The transcript has 4 exons. NCBI's taxonomy places the organism in Eukaryota, Metazoa, Chordata, Actinopteri, Pomacentridae. The record is from RefSeq and is a predicted model, not a curated record.